RNAcentral lists this long non-coding RNA (506 nucleotides) under Androctonus crassicauda. Lineage: Eukaryota; Metazoa; Arthropoda; Arachnida; Scorpiones; Buthidae. The record is from RNAcentral.
CAGGCUUUUUUAAUGAAUAUAAUCGAUUAAUCACGAAUCUUUAAACCCAAGAUUCCUGUUAGUCAAUCACUAUAUCGUGUUCCGAGGAAACCAUGUAUAUAUUUAUUAAAAACAGUUCUGCUGUACAGAUGAUGCCGCGCUGCCGAAUGUUAAUGGUAGAUUACCAGCUGAUGGCAUACGUCUUUCACCAGCAGUUAAUCUACCAUUUAAUAAUUUAUAGCUACAAAUCAAUGAACGGUUUCUUCAUCGAUUCACAUAUCGACAAUUCCGAUUUUAUUCGUCUACAUUUCAUAUUUCCAUUAUAUGGAACGGUUUCUCUUUCAAGGCGGAUGAGGCAUUUUUUCGGUAGGGAGAUGCGAAAUGCACGUGAUAUAGGAUGAGCUAUUUGAAAUAAAUUCGAAAGCACGGAGAUGCUAAGUAACACGAUUCGCAAUUUUAUUUAUUUACUUUAUUACUCUCCUUCUAAUUUUUUGCUUUCAUUAAGGUUUUCGCCUAUAAUUUUGCAG